CUUUUGAGUACCUUCGUUUCCUCGGCGGGUUCGCCCGCCGAUUGGACAAUUUAAACCAUUUGCAGUUGCAAUCAGCGUCUGAAAAAACAUAAUAGUUACAACUUUCAACAACGGAUCUCUUGGUUCUGGCAUCGAUGAAGAACGCAGCGAAAUGCGAUAAGUAGUGUGAAUUGCAGAAUUCAGUGAAUCAUCGAAUCUUUGAACGCACAUUGCGCCCCUUGGUAUUCCAUGGGGCAUGCCUGUUCGAGCGUCAUUUGUACCUUCAAGCUCUGCUUGGUGUUGGGUGUUUGUCUCGCCUCUGCGCGUAGACUCGCCUCAAAACAAUUGGCAGCCGGCGUAUUGAUUUCGGAGCGCAGUACAUCUCGCGCUUUGCAUUCAGAACGACGACGUCCAAAAGUACAUUUUUAC
This 408-nucleotide ribosomal RNA is filed under the name uncultured Peyronellaea. RNAcentral's name for it is "eukaryotic LSU rRNA". The stretch from base 100 to 253 matches the Rfam family "5.8S ribosomal RNA". Lineage: Eukaryota; Fungi; Ascomycota; Dothideomycetes; Pleosporales; Didymellaceae. The record is from RNAcentral.